This 243-nucleotide unclassified non-coding RNA is filed under the name Chytridiomycota sp. Its description in RNAcentral is "partial contains small subunit ribosomal RNA, internal transcribed spacer 1, and 5.8S ribosomal RNA". The stretch from base 1 to 47 matches the Rfam family "Eukaryotic small subunit ribosomal RNA", at positions 1785 to 1831 of the family's 1831-position model. Lineage: Eukaryota; Fungi; Chytridiomycota. The record is from RNAcentral.
AAAGUCGUAACAAGGUAACCGUAGGUGAACCUGCGGUUGGAUCAUUAAAAAAUCCAAGGCGAGAGUCUUAACCGAUGUCUCUGCCUUAAACUGGCCUUCGGGCCUUUAACCCACUGUGAACUGUUUAUUGACUCUGGCUAGAGGCGAAUGCGCUAGCCGGUUAAAAACUUUUAACCUAAUUUCUUUUGUCUUACUUAAAAGAUUUAAUCUUUACAACUUUUGACAAUGGAUCUCUAGGCUCUC